RNAcentral lists this transfer RNA (72 nucleotides) under Bacteroidales bacterium. Its description in RNAcentral is "tRNA-Arg". It matches the Rfam family "tRNA". From Rfam's summary of the family: Transfer RNA (tRNA) molecules are approximately 80 nucleotides in length. Their secondary structure includes four short double-helical elements and three loops (D, anti-codon, and T loops). Further hydrogen bonds mediate the characteristic L-shaped molecular structure. tRNAs have two regions of fundamental functional importance: the anti-codon, which is responsible for specific mRNA codon recognition, and the 3' end, to which the tRNAs corresponding amino acid is attached (by aminoacyl-tRNA synthetases). tRNAs cope with the degeneracy of the genetic code in two manners: having more than one tRNA (with a specific anti-codon) for a particular amino acid; and 'wobble' base-pairing, i.e. permitting non-standard base-pairing at the 3rd anti-codon position. The record is from RNAcentral. Lineage: Bacteria; Pseudomonadati; Bacteroidota; Bacteroidia; Bacteroidales.
GCCCAUAUAGAUCAACGGAUAGAACGGAAGUUUCCUAAACUUUAAAUCAAGGUUCGAUUCCUUGUGGGGGUA